CCUACGGGGGGCUGCAGUGAGGAAUAUUGGUCAAUGGACGAGAGUCUGAACCAGCCAAGUAGCGUGAAGGAUGACUGCCCUAUGGGUUGUAAACUUCUUUUAUAUGGGAAUAAAAUGUUCCACGUGUGGGAUUUUGUAUGUACCAUAUGAAUAAGGAUCGGCUAACUCCGUGCCAGCAGCCGCGGUAAUACGGAGGAUCCGAGCGUUAUCCGGAUUUAUUGGGUUUAAAGGGAGCGUAGGUGGAUUGUUAAGUCAGUUGUGAAAGUUUGCGGCUCAACCGUAAAAUUGCAGUUGAAACUGGCAGUCUUGAGUACAGUAGAGGGGGGCGGAAUUCGUGGUGUAGCGGUGAAAUGCUUAGAUAUCACGAAGAACUCCGAUUGCGAAGGCAGUUCACUGGACUGCAACUGACACUGAGGCUCGAAAGUGUGGGUAUCAAACAGGAUUAGAUACCCUUGUAGUC
This 460-nucleotide ribosomal RNA is filed under the name uncultured bacterium. Its description in RNAcentral is "partial 16S ribosomal RNA". It matches the Rfam family "Bacterial small subunit ribosomal RNA", at positions 338 to 795 of the family's 1533-position model. The record is from RNAcentral.